AGAGUUUGAUCCUGGCUCAGGAUGAACGCUAGCGAUAGGCCUAACACAUGCAAGUCGAGGGGCAGCAUAGAGUAGCAAUACUUUGAUGGCGACCGGCGCACGGGUGAGUAACACGUAUGCAACCUACCUACAUCAGGGGAAUAACCCGGAGAAAUUCGGACUAAUACCGCAUAAUACAGGGAUGCCGCAUGGCAAUAUUUGUUAAAGAUUUAUCGGAUGUAGAUGGGCAUGCGUUCCAUUAGCUAGUUGGUAAGGUAACGGCUUACCAAGGCAACGAUGGAUAGGGGAACUGAGAGGUUUGUCCCCCACACUGGAACUGAGACACGGACCAGACUCCUACGGGAGGCAGCAGUGAGGAAUAUUGGUCAAUGGACGAGAGUCUGAACCAGCCAAAUCGCGUGAAGGAAGACUGCCCUACGGGUUGUAAACUUCUUUUGUACAGGAAUAAAAGACAUUACGUGUAAUGUAUUGCAUGUACUGUACGAAUAAGCAUCGGCUAACUCCGUGCCAGCAGCCGCGGUAAUACGGAGGAUGCGAGCGUUAUCCGGAUUUAUUGGGUUUAAAGGGUGCGCAGGCGGGAUUUUAAGUCAGCGGUGAAAUUUUCAGGCUCAACCUGAACACUGCCGUUGAAACUGGGAUUCUUGAGUAUGGAUGAAGUAGGCGGAAUUCGUUGUGUAGCGGUGACAUGCUUAGAUAUAACGAGGAACUCCGAUUGCGUAGGCAGCUUACUAAGCCAUAACUGACGCUCAAGCACGAAAGCGUGGGGAUCAAACAGGAUUAGAUACCCUGGUAGUCG
Molecule: ribosomal RNA, 796 nt
Filed under: uncultured bacterium
Lineage: Bacteria
Description: bacterial SSU rRNA
Rfam family: Bacterial small subunit ribosomal RNA
Source: RNAcentral